This 2263-nucleotide long non-coding RNA is filed under the name Pelobates cultripes (western spadefoot toad). Lineage: Eukaryota; Metazoa; Chordata; Amphibia; Anura; Pelobatidae. The record is from RNAcentral.
CAUUGGGGUGUUGCACAGAGCAUUGUGGUGAAAAUCCAGCAAACAAAAGAAGAACUAAGAACUAUAUGGAAGCUGACAUUGUCUUGUUGUCAGCCAUAUUGCUACCCUUAGCCAUUUUUAUGGAACAAAAUGUCUGGUGUCUAAACUGAUUUCUUUAUACUCUGUGAAAGACUUAUUCUAUUUUUCUGAACUAUGCUGAACUAUUGAACUAUUUUUAUUUUUGUAGAGUUAGCCAGAGAGAGAGGAAGUGUUAGCUGACCCAGAGUUAGCUGUACUAUGUGUGUUUUUGAUAUAUGUUGAGUGUGCCAGGGAUGGAUUCCCAUGUUUUGAGGCACUGCGUGAGGAUAUGACUGGUUUUGACUGGACUUUUGGAAUAGGGAAAUGGUUAAAAGAUAUAGGACGCAAGGUCCUGGUUGUGCAAUAAUAUAGUUGCUAUAAGCCCAAGUUCCAUUCUGUCUUAAACAUCCAUUUUCUAUAUAUCUGUCUGCAAAAGUAUUAAGUGGUUUUUGUUUUGUUUUUUUUCUGCUGAGUUUCUGUUUCUUGUAGACCACAUGAUUGCUUGGGAAUGCCAUAAUCUGGACAUUUCUCUGUCUUGGGAGAAUGUUAACCGAUGAUAUGAGCAAUAUAUAUUGCUCAAAGAGGGGUAACAAUUGUAAUUAUUGGGGCUCAGUUGGAUGGAACACCGGGACAGAUUGGGGUUAUAAGCCACAGAAUGCAUUAGAUAAAAAGGAUACGAAUGGGAAGUCCCUCUUGACUAGAAUGACCCUAACAAAGCUAGGUACAUGUACCCCUAUAGGGCAAACUGGGCACUCCGUGAAAUUUACCUUAAAUAUUUUACCUCUAGACAAACUCUUGUUAAUCCUCUAAAGCCCCACAUUCAAACCCUUGGUGAUAUGAUGGCCAUAGCAGAUCCCACGUUUGGAGAUACCAUAGCGUUAGAAACAGGGUAUGCAGAUACAAACCUAUGGCUGGAAUGGUUGAGAUAUAAUGCCCAUUCCAGCAAUAGGUCAAACUGUUAUGUAUGUGGUAGUGCCAGACCUCAUCUAGGAACUGUACCCUUACAUGUCCCUGAUGAGUACUGGGAAUGUUUCCUAAGUUUGUUUUCAGGUACUACUGUUAAUACUACAGGAUGUGAAGAAUGGAAAAAGGGUCACCCUAUUGGUGAACCCAAGUUUAAAUUAAAUGAUGUUGUCUCAGUAUACCCUGGUAAUUAUACUUGUUGAUAACUUUUCUUCAGGAUUCUGCUCCGCCUACAGUAAUAUUACCUUAGUGAAUCAAAUACAAUCUAUAUAAAAAUACGUUCUAGACUCCCCACCCCCUGGAGAGGAGAAUGUGCCCCAGCCAAAAUAAUCAUGCCCCUCCAUAUAUUUGGCGACUCUCUCCCUGAAAUUAAGGUUGUAACUUAUUCCACAAGAAGGAAAAGGGAAUCCCCACAAGGUAGUUUCGACCCACAUAUCUAUCUAGAUGCCAUUGGUAUUCCAAGAGGGGUUCCUAAUGAAUUUAAAGCUAGAGACGAGGUGGCAGCAGGAUUUGAAUCAAUAUUUCCCAUUAUAACAGCUAACAAGAAUGUUAACUGGAUUAAUUAUAUAUAUUAUAAUCAGCAAAGAUUUGUAAAUUAUACACAAGAUGCAUUACAAGGUCUUGCUGAACAAUUACAGGCUACCUCACAAAUGACUUUCCAGAGUAGAAUGGCCCUUGAUAUGAUUUUAGCAGAAAAGGGAGGAGUCUGUAAAUUACUUGACUCCGGUGUUUGUUGUACCUAUAUUGCAGAGAACACUGGCCCUAAUGGUAAAGUAACCCUAGCUAUAAAGAAAUUAGAAGACCUGUCCAUAGAAAUGAAGAGGAAUUCAGGUAUUGAUCACCCAUGGGCAGAUAUGUUUAAGUUUGACAGUAUCCUAGACUAGCUAAAGAAUAUUGCAAUAAUUAUUGUUAUGGUUCUGAUCCUUGCUCUACUUGUUUAUGCUAUUUUCAAGAUUAUUGUAUUCUGCAUUUGCAAACAUACACGCAACACUGUUCCUGUAAAAUCCCCAGCUUGCUAUGAUGAGUAUCUCCAAAUGUAUACACAUAACCGAAGCAAUGGUGAACAUGCUGAUACAGGUCUAUAAGUUUGUGGUACUGGUCAGAUGCCUAGUCCUAUGCUAUGGGAAUAGUGGCCGAAGACAUAAUGAAAGACCUGCAGGAUUGGCUAGCAAUCCUGAAUAUACCAUGGCAGAUGGCUGGUUGUCUGACCAGGACUCCUUUAAUAGGGUAUGAGCAAGAUAUU